This 9724-nucleotide long non-coding RNA is filed under the name Homo sapiens (human). Its description in RNAcentral is "HSALNT0365783". The record is from RNAcentral. Lineage: Eukaryota; Metazoa; Chordata; Mammalia; Primates; Hominidae.
GCACUAAAAUCCAACUCAUCCACCAAGCAAGGCUAAAGGCGCGCACACAAAUUCAACAGCGCUGCGUUCGCGUGGCUGGAGGGCAGACGGGGAAUAUUCCAUUUUACUUAGUAGAGUAUCAACACCUAGCUGCAGGGUUAAACCUGCUUAACAAAAGCUGGCGAGGGGCUGGAGAGGUGCACACCAUCAGCCCUCUCCCGAGCGCCGACCGGCCUCGCCCUGCCUCUGCGCUGCACCCUGGGUGCAGGCGGACUGGGGCAGGGCCGCGACCCCGGCCUCGGCCUCCGCCUCCGCCCGGCCAGCCCCGACGCGGUGCCACGGGACAGACCCGCAGGGGCCACCCCACACCCCUGCGGGCCGGCCCCCCGCCCCGGUCCCGGACGCUAGCUUGGGAAGGCAGGCCGGGGGCCCAGCCAUCGAUGGCAAGUGGGCGGCGCGGCCUCCGCAGACAAAGCUGGGCGCCCCAUCGAACAGGACCCUCCGCCCCACGCGCCCGCAACCGGCCAGCCCCGGAGCCCUGCCCGCACUGCCACCCCCAGCCCGGCGCCCGGCCCCCAGCCCCCGGUGCUCGGCUCCCGGCCGGCGGAGACCUGCCCGCCGCGCCCGGAGCGCCCGCGCAACCGCCGCCGCCGGAGCGCGCAGGCCGCCCAACCGCCGUCCCGGCCCAACCAACGCGGGCAGGGGAGGAGAGGUGCGCGCGGCCGGCGGAGCGUGCGAGCCACUCGGGGGUCGCAGGGGGAGGCUGCGCGCGGCGAAGGCAGGGGCGACGAGACGCCGAGGCCGGCGCUGAACGCGGCGCCAGGAGGGCCUGCUGGAGGGGGCCUUGCCCUCUUCCCCUUGGAAGGUACUUACACGACGUUGGGUGAGGGGAGCUGGAAGAUCAGCGGGUCCCCGAUCCUCUCUCCCUAGGGGUGAUAGAAAUCAACCCCCCCCGCCACCUCCAGGUGGUUCUUCCCGCCGCAGAGUGGGAGCAGCAUAAAAGGCGGGGUCUUAUUAGCAUAAUCUGCCUGGCAACCUGAUCUCGACGUUAUAUGAUUGGUUAAACUCUGUAAGCCCCAUGCCGUGCCUAGAGACGAGAAACGCUGGGGCGAACUGACAGGCCCAGAUUUAGGAGUCAUGACGAAGAUCCUGAGACGCUUAUUCAGUCUGCAGAGAAGCCAAAAGGAGAUUCACAUAAUGGCCCAAUGACUGAAGGCCUCUUUAUUUCGUGCUCUGCUGUUCGUGUAAAACCCAAUCGCAGAGCGGGUCUCAGGCGGCGCUCGCCUGCGUUUCUACUCUCAGCCAAUCAGAAAACCCGACUCUUCGCAUUGGGGUCAAGCCCCCGCUGCGGCCCGCGUGCUAACGGGGAGGAAGCUUCCAGCUGUGCCUGGGUGUCUCGGGCGCCGAGGGCAGCCUGCGCCCGUGCUAAGCCCGCCUCCCGCGCGCCCGAGGGCCCGGUGUCCCGGAAGACGCGCGGGGGUGAGGCGGCCCUCGCGUCCGCCCGCCCCGCCACAGAUUGCCUCCGAAGUGGCCUGGCCGUGGAGCGCCGGCGAAAACCGAACUCCCGCCCGGCUCCCGGAGUCGGGAGCCUGCCGGGGUCUCGCCCUCAGGACCCCCAGGGAGCGGCCGGGCGCCGCCUAUCACCCUGACCCACCGCACCUUGAGAGCGCUUUCACUGCGCCUCUUUUUUCUCCUCUACCAAUCUGGAAAGGAAGUGAGUGUCAUUUCAGACAUUGAGAAACAUUAUUCAACACUGGUUACCCAGUGACUCAGCUCACUCCUUAACCGCAGGCUUCCACAUCCUGCUGUCCCUUAAAAUUGCCUUCACAAAGGGCAGCCAAGAGCCCAGCUUUGGAGAGAUACCCAGCUCCAACUACCCACUGGCAGGCAAUACGCAGGGCAGCUAGAUGGCAGAGAGACCUUGGACCUUCGGACCUUCGGGGAGCGGUUUUCCCUUCGGUGAUAUCUACCUUGCUAUGUUCGUGAUAUCUACCUUGCUACGUUAUUUUGAAGAUUAAGUGAGCUCUUACUUUACCGAGUAAAGUGCUUUGCUUAGCACACUGUCUGGAACUUAAAUGAGAAGUACUGACAAUAUAACUUACAAAAAUCCUAAACUAUUGCCUGAGAAAAAGAGGGAGACAGGACAGCUAAGCAAAAGACGAGAAUAGAAAACACCCACAGCGUGAAAAACUGUAAAAUUAACUCAAUAGUAUUCUCUUUACUGUUUUUUGUUUUGUUUUGUUGUUUUGUUUUUUGAUACGGAGUCUCGCUCUGUUGCCCAGGCUGGAGUGCAGUGGUGAGAUCUGGGCUCAUUGCAACCUCUGCCUCCCGGGUUCAAGCGAUUCUCCUGCCUCAGCCUCUCUAGUAGCUGAGAUUACAGGCAUGCACCACCACGCCCGGCUAAUUUUUGUAUUUUCAGUAGAGAUGGGGUUUCCCCAUGUUGGCCAGGCUGGUCUCAAACUCUAACGUCAAGUGAUUCUCCCGCCUUGGCCUUCCAAAUUGCUGGGAUUACAGAUGUGAGCCACUGCGUCUAGUCUACCAUUUUGUUUCUUUAAAUAGCUGGAAACAACGUGGAAAGAAAAGAGAGCUUUUUUUUUUUUUUAAACUUCGUGACAGGGUGCGGUGGCUCACGCCUGUAAUCCCAGAAUUUUGGGAGGCCGAGGCGGGUGGAUCGCUUGAGCACAGGCGUUCGAGACCAGCCUGGGCAACAUAGUGAGACUCUGUACAAAAAACAAAAAGAUUAGCCAGGCAUGGCAGUACACAUCUGUGGUUCCAGUUACCGGCAGGCUGUGCAGGAGGGUUACUUGAGCCCAGGAAGUCAAGGCUGCAGUGAGCUGUGAUCGUGCCACUGCACUACAACCUGGGUGAUAGAGCAAGUCUCUGUCUUUAAAAAAACAAAACAACAACAAGAAGAAACUUCAGACAGUUAACUGCUUUGUAAACAACUUCACAUCUAGGCCGUGUCUUGUUCUUCCUUAAACCACUGUACAGGUGGCACUGGACUUAGAUGAGGCCGACCUUAACAUAGCUAGUGAGAGACACUAGUAGCCCUACUCUGGCAACACAGACAUGGAAAUCAGUUGCCUAAGGAAAGAUCAUAUUGGCUAAGAGAGUCCCUUGAAUGCUCCCUUUUAGUGUUACGAGUAGAUGAACAAUGCCGCAGGUUGGACAGGUCCUUCUGUGUCCUUGCAAAAGCUGCCACUCCACAUACCCCUGGCCUCAGUAAGAACGGCUCACUUUUAGAUUUAACAUCAUUACAUCCUUGCUGAUGAACUGAGAUGGUCCCAACUGAGGUCCACUGACCAGAAACAACACCACAGAACCCAAAAGAGAACGCACCAUGGGGAAUGGGGCUAUUCAAACUGAAGAGCCUGAGUUACUCUCAUGGCUUUAGAGAAAUGUUCUAAAACUUCUAAGUACAUAAAUAUGUGCAGGGAGAUUCCUCCCCACAGAGUUUUUAUUCAGAGGGUCUGGAGUGAACCUCAGGAAUUUGCUUUUUAUGUGGAUUUUUAAAUGAUUUUUAAAGUUUACACUGUAAAAUUCACUCACUGGGGUAUACAAGAAGUAUUUAUUGAAUAUGUACUGUGUGCCAUUCAUUUUUCUAAACAAUAAAGAUAGAAUAGGGAACAACAGCAACCAAAAAAGGCCCUGCUGUCAUGCAGCUUUAUUCUAGUGUAGGUAACAAGAAGAAAAGAAAUAACUCCAGGUCAUGAUAAGUGCUACAAAGUAAACCAGGAAAAUGCAAAGGCAGAGAACGCUGGCAGUUUAAAUAGGGUGCCAAAGAAGUUUUCUCUAAGAUACUAACAUUUGAGCUGAGCCUUGAGUUAUGGGGGAAAAAAAAAAGCCAGCCAUGUUAAGAUCUUGGAGAACAUUCCAAUCUAAGAGAAUGGCAAAAGUAAAGACCAUGAGGUGAACAACAAAAAAAUUAGUAUGGCGUGCACAUAUUCAUUCUUCUAUUGAAUAGAUAUUCAUUGAAUGCUUCCCAAAUGCCAGGCACUGUCUUAGAUGCUCUGUGAUUCGUCAAUUAACACUAUAGACAAAAGGAAAAACAACACAAAAAUCCAUGCCUUGACUGAGCUUUCAGUCUAACACACUUGAGAAACAGUAAGAAGGCCAGAAUUAUUGGAACACAGGACAGAGUGAUACAAGAAAGAGUGUAGUGAUACAAGGAUACAGUGAUACAAGAAAACUUGGGGAAAUAGGUCUGGGACAGACCACAUAAGGCUUUGAAGGCUAUGGUAUUGGAAUUAUUAUAGAAAGUGCAACUUAAUAGGAGCAUUGACUAAGUGUGGUAAUUAAAAAAAAAGAAAGAAAAAAGUGCAACUUAAACUAGUUGGAGGUUUUAAGUAAGGUAGUAACACAGUUUUGUCUUUCAAAAUAACUGGCUGCUCUAGGGUGCUUAUUUUGUUUGGGGAGAGGGCAAGAGACAAGGAGUCUGUGCCAAUAUGCUCUGAAUAAGAAACGAUGGCCCAUCUUGACUGAAAUAGAAGUAGCUUAAAUGGGGAGAAGUGUAUGGACACCAGAUAUAUUUUGGAGGUGAAGCCACAGAACUUGCAAAUGAAUAAGUUAUGGAACAGAGUGUAAGUUGCUCCUGGUGACAAGGGAGUGAUCGAGAAUGACUUCUAAGGUUGAAAACUGAGUGGCCAAUGAAUGUUGAUGCCUUAACUGAGAUUAGGAACACUGGGAGAUAAAUGGUUAGAAAAUCAAGAGUUGUAUUGUAGCCAUGUUGAAUUGGAAAUAUCUUUUGGAAAAUCCAACUAGACACCCCACGUAGGCAGCUGGAAUCCAAAAGAGAGAUCAGGGCUGGAAAUACAAUUAUAGGAAUACAGUUCAUCAGAUUAUACAUUAUAUCUAAAUACAUAGAAUUAGGUGUGGUCAUCUAAUUAGGAUUAGAUGAGAGAGAGUGUGUAUAUAGAGAAGACAAGUGUAUCCAGGACUGAGCUCAUGGGAGCUGCUGAAUUUAGAGGUGGAUGAUAGGAAGGCAGCCAUCCAAAAGGCUGAGAAGGAAAUAACACAGGAGGAGAACCUGGAGAGGAUGGUGUCUGAGAAGCCAAGGGAAGACAGUGUUUCAAGAAGGAUGUAGUGGCCAGCUGCAGCAAAUAUUGCUAAAAGCUGAUGAUAAUGACAGUUAACCUGUGGAUCUGGAAAGACAGAGGUGGAAAUUGCUGGUAACUUUGACAAUAGUAGCUUCAAGGGAGAGCUAGGAAGUUUACUGGGAGUCACCUGAAGAAAGCAUAGGAGGUGAAGAGUCACAUCUGUUGCCAACAUAUGGCAGAUAAGAUAGGCCAACGAAAACAACUAAUGUGCUGCAGUGAGCUAUGAUCACACCACUGCACUGAAGCCCAGAUGACAAAGCGAGACCCCGUCUCAAAAAGAAAAAAAAAAGUAUGUCAUGAAAAGCAAAGAAAGCCUGAAAAACUGUUCCAGAUUAAAGGAGAAUAAAAAGACAGAACUAGGCCAGGCAUGGUGGCUCAUGCCUGUAAUCCCAGCACUUUGGGAGGCCAAGGCAGAUGGAUCACCUGAGGUCAGGAGUUCGAGACCAGCCUGGCCAAGAUGUCUCUACUAAAAAUACCAAAAAAUUAGCCAGGUGUGGUGGUGUGCACCUGUAGUCCCAGCUACUUAGGAGGCCAAGGCAGGAGAAUCACUUGAACCUGGGAAGCAGAGGUUGCAGUGAGCCAAGGUCGCGCCACUGCACUCCAGCCUCGGUGACAGAGUGAGACUCCCUCUCAAAAAAAAAAAAAAAAAAAAUAGGGCCUUUGCAGAUAUAAUUAAUUAAGAUGAGCUUAUACUGGAUAAAGUAGGCCCUAAAAACCUAUAACUAGUGUUCUUUUAAGACGAGAAAACAAAGACAUAGAUCCACAGGGGAGGGAAUAGGAAGGCUAAAAACAGCAACAGAGAGUGACGUGUCCACCAGCCAAGGAAUGCUGAAGGUUGCUGGCAACCUCCAGAAGCUGGAAGGAGAUAGGAAGGGUUCUUUCCUAGAGGCUUCAGAGGGAACAGGGCGGGCACCUUGAUUUCAGACCUCUAGCCUCCAGAGCCAAGAGAGAAUACAUCUCUAAGGUUUUAAGCUACCUGUUUGUGAUACUUUGUUAUGACAACCAUGGGAAACUAAUUUAACAUUAUUAAGUAAGAAAUUAUGUGGUACAAGAUUGUUUGGGGUUGUCGGGGAGAAGGAGAGAGUGAGGAAUUAUCUGAAUGUGGAUAGCUGGGAUGAUGAGUAUUUAUAAGAUAGCAACAGUUUUGGGUGUUUUUGUUUUUAAGAUUUGAAUGAAAAACUAGCUGGGGCCAGGUGGCACAGUGACUCACACCUGUUAAUCCCAGCACUUUGGGAGGCCGAAGUGGAUCACUUGAGUGAGGAGUUUGAGAGCAGCCUGGGCAAUAUGGUGAAACCCUGUCUCUAUUUAAAAAGAAAAAAAGAAAGAAAGAAAAGAAAAGAAAGAGAGAGAGAGAAAAAAGUAGCCUGGCGUGGUGGCGCAUGCCUGUAGUACUAGAUACUUGUGAGGCUGAGGUGGGAGGAUCAUCUGAGCCCAGAAGGUUUGAGAUUGCAGUGAGCCAUGAUUGUGCCACUGCACUUUAGCCUGGAUAACAGAGUGAGACCUCAUUUCAAAAAAAAAAAAAGAAAAGAAAAAAAGAAGAAGAAGAAGGAGAAGGAGAAGAAAGGGAGAAAGAGAGAAAGAAGGAAGGAAGGAAAGAAAAAGAAAGGGAGAGAAAGAAAGAGAAAGAGAAAAAAGGAAAACCAUACAGGGAGGAAAUCAUAUAACAAUGAUAAAUGUGGAAAAGCUGCUAUUAAAAUGUCAAGUCUCAUUAGACACCAAAGAAGACAUGCUGGAGAGACUGUCCUUCCUAUGCACAUAAGGAAGGUGGGAAAGCCUUCAGUCGCAAAUCACAUCUCACAGAGAAUGAGAAAAAUUCAUCCAGGAAAGAAAGCCCGGAAUGGAAUCAAUGUGGAAGUGUCUUAGCUAGAAGAAAUACUUCAUUAAAGAUCAGAACAUUCACACUGUAAAUAAUGAGAACUCUAUGAAUGUAAGAAAUGUGGAACAUCUUCAGCCAAAAGGAAAACUUCAUUAUUCAUCAAUAAUCCAUAUAAAAAAGAAAUCUUAUGAAUGUAGUAGGUAUGAAAAAGCUUUUAUUCGGAAGUCAAACUUUAUACCAGAGAGGUCAUACUGGAGAUAAACCCUACGCAAGUAGGGAAGGUGAGAAAGCACUCAGUGGCAAAUCAAAUUCCACUGGGCAUGAGAAAAUCCAGAUUUGAGGCCAGGCGCGGUGGCUCACGCCUGUAAUCCCUGCACUUUGAGAGGCCAAAGUGGGUGGAUCACUUGAGCACAGGAGUUCAAGACCAGCCUGGGCAACAUGGCGAAACCCCGUCUCUACUAAAAAUAAAAUAUAUAAAAACUGAGGUCUCUACUAAAAAUAAAAUAUAAAAACGAUCACCUGAGCCUGGGGAGGCGGAGACUGCAGUGAGCCGUAAUCACGCCACUGCACUCCAGCCUGGGUGACAGAGUGACACCCUGUCAAAAAAUAAAAAGAGAAGAAAAGAAAAUUCAGAUCUGAGGGGUGCCCUGUAAAGAUAAUGAAAGUGCAACGAUCUUCGGGCAGAAGCUAUUCAUCAUUAAAUAUUACAAUAUUCAUGACGAGGGCGACACCCUAUACUAAGGGUGCAGAAGUUUUCUCUGUAAUCAUACUGCUUAUUGUACAUGUAAGAACCCGUAAGUAUGAAUGUAAAAUGUGUGGUAAAGUCUUCUGUCCAUUCUUAGCCAAUGCUCUACAUAAGAGAACCAAUACCAACGAAAAAAACUAAUGAAAUAUCUCAAACAGAAGUCAUGCCAUAUUUGACACCAAAGAAUUCAUACUCAUUAAAACCUUAUGAAUACCUUGGAUUUAGGAAAGGCUUUAGCAGGAAUUCAUAUUUCAUAGCACAUCAGAUAAUUAAAUUUUAGAGUAAAAUUCAAUUAAUAUGAGAAAGCCUUAAGCAGAAACCCAAAUUUUAUGAUAUUAGAGAUUUUUAAUAAGGAGAUAUUUCAUCAGUAUAAUAGAAAUUGGGUCCAAAGGCCAGGCGUGGUGGAUCACGUCUAUAAUCCCAACAAUUUGGGAGGCAAAGGCAGGCAUAUCACUUCAGGUCAAGAGUUCAAGAUCAGCCUGGCCAACAUGGGGAAACCCCAUCUCUACUUAAAAUACAAAUAUUAGCCAGGCCUGGUGGCACACACCUGUAAUACCAGCUACUCAGGAGGCUGAGGCACAAGAAUCACUUAAGCCUGGGAGGUGGGGUUGCAGUGAACAGAGAUCGUACCACUACACUCCAGUCUGGGCAACACAGCGAGACCCUGACUCAAAAGAGAAGAACAGGAAGAGAAAGGGGAAGAGGGGGAGGGGGAGGGGGAGAGGGAGAGGGAAAGGGAGAGGAAGAAAGAGAAGGAGAAGGAAAAGGAAGAACUGGGUCCAAAAAGCCAUCACAACAAAUAUAAUUAGUGCUAACUUUGUUUUGUUUUGUUUUUUUGAGACGGAGUCUCGCUCGGUUGCCCAGGCUGGAGUGCAUUGGCAUGAUCUCGGCUCACUGCAAGCUCCGCCUCCUGGGUUCACGCCAUUCUCCUGCCUCAGCCUCCCAAGUAGCUGGGACUACAGGCGCCCACCACCACGCCUGGCUAACUUUUUUGUAUGUUUAGUAGAGAUGGGGUUUCACCGUGUUAGCCAGGAUGGUCUCGAUCUCCUGACCUCGUGAUCUGCCUGCCUCGGCCUCCCAAAGUGCGGGGAUUACUGGUGUGAGCCACCACGCCCAGCCAAUUACUGCUAAACUUUUAAAAGCAUUCCAAUUGAAUGUCAGGAACAAGUGAUGGAUGCUGUUACCCUACUUCUAAUUAACACGGCCCUGAGAGGUUAACCAAUGCAAAUAAGACAGAGAAAAAGAACACAAGGAUUAGGAAAGAAGAAACAAACUUGUAGGUUUCUGAGGAUAUGAUCUGCUAACAUAUAUUAUAAAGCUAUGAUCAUUAAAAAAAAAAAUUGGUUGGGCGCAGUGGCUCACGCCUGUAAUCCCAACACUUGUAAUCCCAACACUGCCGAGGAAGGCAGAUCAUCUGAAGUCAGGAGUUCGAGACCAGCCUGACCAACAUGGAGAAACCCGGUCUCUACUAAAAAUACAAAGAUUACCUGGGCGUGAUGGCAGGCGCCUGUAAUCCCAGCUACUCGGGAGGCUGAGGCAGGAGAAUCGCUUGAACCCAGGAGGCAGAGGUUGCAGUGAGACGAGAUCGUGCCAUUGCACUCCAGCCUGGGGGACAAGAGCAAGAUUUUGUCUCAAAAAAAAAAAAUAAUUUAAAGCCAAAGUGGAACUCCUGGGAGAUGAACCUGCAUCAAAGCUGGCUUUCAUCAAGGGAUUCUGCAGAACACUAACACCUUGAGUUUCUAUUUUAAGGAUAUACAGGGUAUAGGUAGGAGACAGUGAUAGAGUCUUGGGCCCACUCAAAAUAUAAAGCCUAAGAGAAGAUAAUUUCAUCAAGUUGAAUGAUAUAAUAAGUGUAAGGGUGAAUAAAAAGUAAACUGGCCUUAAAGAGAGAUCCAUCAGAGAAACUUGCUUCUCUCAACCAAGGGCAAAAUAAAAACAUUUUCAGACAAAUGAGAGUUAAAAGAAUUGACUACCAAAAUAUUUUACACUAGAAUUAGUACUAAAUGAGGCAAAACAAAUACAAUCACAGGCGGAAGAUUUAAAAUGCAAGGAGGAAUUGUGAUUUCAUUUUAUUAUAGAGUAAGUUCU